UCAGACAAGCCCUUGUCCAGGUCUGGCUCUUGGAAAGUGAACACAGCUCAUCAAAUGCAUUUCUGCAGUCAGAAAGUAAAAGUGGGCUGCAUCUUCAUGGCUUCCCCCUAUGGUCUGACCAGGUCAGAAGCAAUUCUGAAGAAAAGGGUAAAGCCCAUCCAGGAGAGUGAGCUGGAGGUGGUGUUUCCUGUUUCCUGCCCCACAGCACGAGGAGGGAUUGCUAACUGGGACCAGCAGUGGGAUUUUUUCCUUGCCUAUGUGUUAAAUCACCUGCCUUUUCCUGCAGUCCCGAGAGGAAAAGAGCUUUGGCUCUCUCUGCACUGAAGGUGCCCUGGGACAGUGAGCUGUGGUCCAGCUCCCCUCCUCACUGACACUGGCCAGGCACUCCUGAGGAAAGGAUGGGCAGAGCCAUUUGGAGAGCCUGUCCCCUGGCUGACUGGAGCAGUGGGAAUGAAAUGAAUGAUUAAAUAAACGUGGUCACUACUGCACACCCUCCCUCCACCAGUACUUCCAAAGCACUGAAAUGUCCUAUUUCAGAUUUGAUAUCUGCUAUCAAUUGAGAUUGAAGAUAUUGAUCCAGGCUGAUUGCUGGGGAUAAUCAGUAAGUGGAGGGGUAAUUGACUGUCAUGUCUCUCAUUGAUUGGGCACCACAGUUCACAGCAGCCAACAUUAUUUUCGAGCACUUUGCAGCAUCUUCUUCAAUAAAGAAAUACAGACUUUAAGUAACAGUGAUUUAUGUGUACUGCCAUUUAGAGAGUGGAUGAGGACAACCUUAGCCAACAUGUCCUUGCCUUAAACAAACUUAAAGGUGUCAGCAGGAGAGUGCUGGAGCAGGAAAGCUUGGAUUUUGGUUUGCACAUGUGUCACUGUGAGCCAACACCCUGCUGUGGAACCAUCCCACUCGCUGCUUGGCUGCAACAGAUACUAACAGAGGACCUCUGAGACAGCAAAGGCGCUGCACAUGGGCCAGGAGAGUGUGACCUCCUCUCUAGGUUGUUUGAAAUGUUAAAGCAACAAAUACUUUAUACCAUGUAUUCUACCAGGGCUUGUUAGAAGCUGAUCCAAAAAAACUGCCCCGGGAGAAGAACAAAUCAGGAAACAUCCCAAGUUGCUGCAAUCAAAUCCACAAAAAGUUCACAUAAAAUUUUUAUAUAUAAUCAGAAGGAUGGGAAAAUUACCUUAUUUCCUGCUAUGCACUUCAGAUUAGUAUAGACAAACACUAUUCAAUCCUAAUACUUAUGGUGACCAUGAAACCUCUUUCUGUACUUACCAGGAACCAGGCAGAUAAAAUUGCUUUUCUUCCAGAAGAGAGACAGGGUUAGUAGUGUCUGCUGUUGUUUUUUAACAGUCUGUACUACCUGAUUUUGCUGCCCCUCAUCUGCAAGCUCUUUUGGAUAGGAGCUACUCCGUGUGAACAGAGGUCCAGUGAAAUGAAUGGGAUUGAGUUGUUCAAUUAAUUCUUGUACCUAAAUACCUUAAUGAACUUGCCUUUUUAAGUGGGUUCAGGGAUGAAGGUCCCAAUUUUGACUCCACAAAGCCCAGAAAUGGUUACAUUCCGGUUAUGGCUAAAGCAAAGCAGGCUGCAGAGUUACUGUACAUGCUGGUUUCCCACCUGAACAUUGUUUAUAGGCAGAUUUGGAGGCUUUUCUUGUGUUUGUCUCAGAUUUCUCAAUGUCUGGCAGCCUGUUGGGAGCUGCCAGAUGUCCAGAGUCGCUGACCUCGCCUGCUAAGCAUGCACAAGCUCUUUCACUGCAGGCUCAAAGCAAGCCCAGUGCCUCCAGCACCACGGGGUUGGCCAUGCAAGUGGUGUCUGGCCCUUUGAAGAGUGUGGAGGAAGCCCAGGAGAUGCCAGGGAUUGUGUCUUCAGCCCAUCCCAGCAGCACAGCCAGCUUCAGUCGCUGUGGUGCAUCCUGAAAUCCUUGUCCAAGUGGGCAGCACUAUUUGUUCAAGCCAUUUGAGAUUCAGGAGCAAUAUAGUGGUGGGAAAACGUGCAGGAAGAUGUCCGUGGACUUUGUGAAUGUAUGUAAAGCAUGAAGGCAACUCUGAUAGAUCUGCAAGUGUGUAGCCACUGCUCCUCGAGCACUUGCUCUAAGCCCCAAAGUUGGCUUUUUCCAUACAAAUGGGGCUUAAUGAGCUACCCCUGACAUUACCCAGAUUUCUCAUUAAUUUCCUUCCCAGUUUUCAGGUGGUCAAACCCCAUUUCAGUGAGUUUUGGAUGCUUCUCACCCACCAUAGUUGCUGAAUCGAGCUGUUCCUCACCUUGGGUUUCAGUCUGUUAAACAGCUCAGCCCAGCCUGCUUUUGGUUUGCUUUGUCUUUACUUUUUGGUGCUGCUGGUGAACCGAAACACCCAUCUCUUGUGUCGAGGGCAGGGCUGACUGGGGAAGUCACUGAAGCCACCGAAAUUUCACAGUGACAGGUGGCAGCCCUGCGGGCAUGGCUCAUGAGUCAGCCACACCGCGGGGCAGCGAGGGCGCCUGAAGAGGUUUCUCAUCCCACCCAAGUUUCCUUUCCUGGGAAGCAGGGUGGCUGUGCUGGGGUGCGUGGGCUGUGUGAGCUCCCAGAGAGUCAAACCCAAACUGAGCUGACGGAAUAGCUGUAGCCUCAAGCACCCCAGCAAAAACCUCCUGUGCUGGAGGCUUAAACUGCUGAUUAUACAGAGCUGGCUGGCCCUGGAUCACAGUCGAGGUGCUGGCUCAGGCCAUGGUUAAAUGUGCAAGAGAAACAGAAAAAAUGCUGUGCUAGAUGGGGUCGAUGCAUCAGUCACUUCAGAGAGAGGUGAAACCUACAAACAGCAGCCAUGUGUUGCUUACUCCCCCUCAAUUUUUUCUGUUAAUCCCAACAAUCCUGUACUGGUGGGUUUAUGGAAGUGUAAGACUGGGAUCCCCUCCGACCCCUCUUAAAAUAACUUAUGUGAGAGCUCCACACACGCUUUUAGUGAGCAACUGCAACACUCUUUCCACUGCAACUGCUGAAGCAAGGAUGAUGAGAAGGAGGAAAGGGAAGGUUGUGUGAACCAGCAGUUAAUACUGAAGGACAAAAAUAUUUAAAAGUUUAGUGUCACAGCAUUAAUUUACACAAAAUAAGAAGCAUUUCUCCUUAUUGAGUGGAUAUAUUGCAGGAGUAUAUGACAGGACAAGCAGGGCAAAUGCAUGCUACAGUGAAACAAGAGUUAAACAACAUCAAAUCAUCCCUGUGAUGGAUCAUUAAGGAUGUGGAGUCUAAAUGUGUGUAAAAUUACAGCAUCGUGCAGAUGCUCCUAUACCAAUGACUUAUUUUACAUAUUGCAAAGUAUAGAGGUAAUUCCUAGUAGCAAAUGCACACCAAGACCAACCUAUCCCACAGUGGAUGCACAUUUGGAAUCUUGGACAAGGUGAAUUUUGAGGGGUGAGGGGGACUGAGCUGAACUGCUGCUGCCUGGGAUUACAGCUGCCUUCAGCUGGAAAUGGGACUUGUUUCCCUGCAACCUCCCCACUUCAGGCCAGCCAUGUGUACAGUAGGGAUGGAUCAACAAGGAGUGAGAAAGGGUAAAUAAAAGACAGAGCCAGGACUAAAUACAUAGAUGCUGAGGAAUUAUCUUUUUCACAUGAAUAUAUAUUGUAAAAAAAUUUAAAACAUUCCUCCUGCUAAUUAGUGUUUCCUCGGCACUGUGAAAACUACAGCUGUAGGAAGAAUUCAGGAAAAGUAAUCAGCAGCACAAUUAAGCAAUCUGCCAUAAUGACAGAACACAACUUUAGGGAUAGAAUAAUCAGAAACACAUGUAUUUCUCCUUGAUUUUCAUUUCCCACCCAAUGAUUUGCCUUUGCAGGGUGUAUAUAAAGCAAUGCCUGAUAAAAAUGCCCAUUUUUCUCUGCUACAGCUUGUAGACCUUGAUGCAGUGAGGAUGCCCAUGUUAAAUUCCUGCCAAUCACUUACAACGAAUGUUAUUUUUACUGUCAUUUUUGAAAACCUAAUGUUUGAUCUGCUUUAAUCCUAAUUUUGCCACCCUGUCUCAUAUAAACUCCUUUAAGGUAGAAGGUCCAGCUCCUUUAAGUGGAAGGUAUCCAGACAAGAAAUCCUGGAGCUGAGGUCCCUUUUUUUCCUGCCAGCCAUCCCACCCAAGGAAGCAGAGCAGGGAGAUGCUUCACACUGUGUUUGUGCAACCUCCAGCUCUGCUCAGGAGAGGAAAACGCCUACACCUGUGAGCAGACAGUGAGGGGAAUGGCCCUGACCUGCUCCAUCUGCACAAGCUGUUUUCCCAGAGCUCUCUCAAGCUGCAGGAGCCCACAAGGAAGGUAAGUUCCCUCCAAGGAGGUGGUUUGGAACGGAGAAGAGAAAUAUGGCCCUUGAGAAAAGGGUCUCAUGCGUUUCAGCUCUCUGCCAGUCAUGGACCAAGGCUGGUUGGAAAGAAGCCACAGGAGAGAGGGAAGCUCCCCUGUGUGUUGCUGUGGGCAGGUAGGUGUUCUCCUUGAGCUCUGCUUGGGGGUUUACUGGCUGUGGGGAGGGAGUUCUCAUGAAAAACUGAGAAAGAAACAGUUUUGGUGGAGUCAGGAGUGAUCUGUAUGCUGUGGUAGGCCGGUUGUUAACAGUGGGACUCGAUGAGUUUUGUGAUGGUAAUUCCCAGGAGCUGGCAAUAUUGUUACUGGAGAUGGCCACCAGCCUUUCCUUGGGAGGUGGUAGCUCUGCAGUCCUUCCAGGAUGGUAGAGCAGGUGGGAUUGCUGCUGAAGGUGUCUGGAUGGAGCUCCUAACAUGUGCUCUGUUCAGCUGAGGUGUGUUGGUGCCCUGUUAUCCUCCCACAAUCAUGGGUUUCCUCCUGCUCAUUCCUAGAUGGAGCUUUUGGUUAUUAUUCCCCUGUAUAGAAAGACUUGGCUGGUCCUGGAGGUUCUUAGAGGUUCUCAAGUUUGUAACCUCUGGUAUAAGAGAGGGCCUCAGGUGUUUUGAAUUUACACGUGGCUGCUAAAAACUUAGCUUCCAUCAGAAAUAAACUAGGAACUGUAAAUAUUAUACUGAGGAGUCUUUAUAAAUGCAAUUCUCUGGUUUGCGUCCUACAUAACCUAAUGAAAUGACAACUAUGAAGUUAUAUAUUUCAGUAAUUAAAUUUUCAUAAUGGGAUAAGUGCAGCUGGCAGCCCGGAACUUUGAUAACCUGAAAAACUUUUAUUUUUGCCUUAAGGGAUAAGCUUGAGAUAAAAGCUUAAAGAAACACCUAGCAUAGAGGAGCCCAACACCUCCUCAUGUGCAGGAAGAUGUGAGUUCCACCUGCUUCAGGCACUAAUGAAAAAUCUUAGUGCUACUUAAAUCAGUUUCUGGUAUUUGUCUUAGUGUGGCAAAAGAUAGGGUGUCUUGGUGGCCAGAUUCUUAUGUCACUAAAGCUGGUGAAAAGUCACAUUACCAUGAUCCCUCCCAGAGCUCUCGGAUCAGAGCUGAUACUCUUCUGCAUGCUCCUUUGUCAUCAGAGACACUGGCUUGCAAACAAACAUACAUACACAGACCUGUUCCUCCUUUUCCUGCGUGCCCAUGUUAGUGGAAAUCAUUGGGAUCACCAGGUCCAGGGAGCAGAGAUCUGUCUAUAAAACUCGUUCACAAAAUCCUAAAUCAUGGAGGAAUGCUGGCUUAAUUUUUCAUCUGAGUAUCAGCUGAAAGUAAUGUAAACCCCAAAUUAAUGCAGACAAUUCCUAGUCUGGUCUGCAGGCCCUCUGUAUUUCUGAAUUCUUUUCUACUAAAACUCAAUAAAAACAUGGGGGUGGGAAGGUGCUGCUGGGAAUUUGCUUUUUGUUCUGCUUAAGUGCUGUAUUUCUCAGCAGUCUUCAAGUUGCUCAGCAUGAAGAUAUUGUUACAUUAGAACUACUGUGGGUUUAACACAAUUCGGAAUUUGCAGGCAAAUGGAUAUAUUGUGUUGGGGCUUAUCCACAAAGGACUGUGAAACUACAAAUUACAACCCAGCUGCAUUUUCUUAUCUGGAUUUUUUUCCCCACAUGUGCCUGUGAGUCCUCUCCUGUUCACAAGCAGAAGGUGUAAGGAGAAACCCAAGUGAGAAAAAGAGACAUAGGCCUGAAGUCAGAAGGGAUCCUGACACUGGAGAUCCUGCCCAUGUCCAUGGAUGCUUUCCAUUAGCAGAGGAUGUGAUGCCUCUGGAUUUAGUGUUUUUGUGAUUGCCUGAGAACUUUGUUUCUGUCAUUCUCCCUAGGAAACUGUGGCAGAUGGGGUAAUAGUUAACACAUCCACUGAAGGCUUCUCUGACAAGGAGGAAGAAGGGGGCUAUUGAUUCUCAUGGAUUGCUAAAUAUGGAAAUAAAACAUAGGAUCCAUGCAUGUUAUGUUCUCAGCUGUUCUUCAUCCUCACUCUUCCUCUUUGAAGGGAAUGAAAAACCCCAAGCAGGUCCAUAUGGGAGAGGUAGGAGGCACUUACACUCUGCAGUAGUUUGAGACAAGGCUUUUAGCAGCCCUUGCUAGUCCUGGGCAGGUUUUUCUGACCUUGUCCCAGUUACAGAGCUGGGGCCAGGUUAUGUACCAGAGCCCUGUGCCACAAGCAUGGAUACCUGGCUUGGAGACAGCACUGGAACAAGCAAGUCUGUCUGGGCAGAGGUGCUGCACCCUAGAGAGACAAGUUCUUGUCUUUCAUUCUUCAAAGCAAAGGGCCAUAUUAGCUGAUCUGAGUGAUACUCUGCACACCUGCUAGCCAGUAAUAGGCUGAAAACUCAGUGACCCCACCAUAAUGUUGUUAUGUUUAUUUGCUUCCUUUCAAAUGGCUGUUCUAUGAAGGAUGCUGACAAAUGGGACCUGAACUCAUGCAUUUAGUGGGCCAGGAAAUAAAUAUAUCAGAGAGACAGUACUUCUUUGGACUCUUCUGAGACUUGGGAGUUGCUGGCUAUUCUGUUUGCUGGCUCAGUUUAAGCAGCAGAAAUGUCCAUGUGUUCUGUCAAAGCACUUUACUUGUGACAGGUAAAGUGCUGCCCUGACCUAGAAAACCAUUCAGAGCAAAUAAAUGCAUUAAUUCAAUGUGGAGUAUCUUAUAUUUGAUACACACCACUUCCUAAUCACUUUACUGAACAUCUGGAUUGCCUUGAAAUAAAACCAGUGAUGGCGUCAUCUGCAAUUUGGACAUGGGAUCCAUUUCGGGAGGCUUUUUCCAGGAGUGCACCUCUUGGAUCUUGGUAUGAUUUAGGUUGGGUCCUACAGGUCUAAUCCAGAGUAAAUACAAUUAAAGGUUGCUUCACUGCUGAAGGAGGACAGAAAGUAGCACACAGGAGCCAGCUGGGCCCUUUGAUACUUGUAGUCCAAAUUGUAGAAUCAUAUUAAAAAAUGCAGAUGUUACCAAAGAACAGGGAUUUUUCAUAUGGCGGAAGCAGGGUCUGUGUCCCUUUCUCUUAGGGCAGUACAGGUAUGUUCUGGCAGAAAAAAUGGGAAAAAUUCAUUUUGACUGUUAACAUGGUACAAGAGGCUGAAGUUAACCCUGUUGUGCUGGUAAAAGUUACAAAGGAACACCAAGGGUGCAGAGACACUGCAGUGGCUGCUGUGUGUGAGAAAAAGCAAUGACUUAAUGAACGAGAGAUGCACUCACACUGCAACUCAGGCUCAGCUGAGCAACGGCAAGAGCUAUUUGCAACAUCUUUUUGUCAACAUCUGUUUGUCUCUGAGUUCAUGGGAGUGAAAAAAUUCUCAUUGAUUUUUUUUUUGCUUGUGUUGAAAUUUUGCACAAUUCUUUCUGUUAUUUUGGCAGCCAAAAUGAUACUGGAAUGUUUCACCUUCUUUUUCCAAGUUUUUGAGCUGAGUUGUUCAGUUGAGGUUUGUCACAUAAACCAUGAGGUUUUACUUCUGCUGCUAGCCAAAGUAUAAUCUUUAUAUCAUAAGUCUUUUGUUGUUUAUUUCUUUUUCUUUAAAACUCUGGCUUCUGGAAUCAUGAGAAUGCAUGAAAAUCUCUACUCCUACUUUCUGUUGUGUUUGUUUUCCCUUGAGAUUUUUAGCACUGAGAACUGUGGAGAAACUUCUGGGUGCCAUCUGAGAGAUGAAAAAUUGAAUACAUUAAAUUUUGUUUGUUUGUUU
Molecule: non-coding RNA, 8020 nt
Organism: Sturnus vulgaris (Common starling)
Lineage: Eukaryota; Metazoa; Chordata; Aves; Passeriformes; Sturnidae
Source: RefSeq, a predicted model, not a curated record